Molecule: ribosomal RNA, 264 nt
Filed under: uncultured archaeon
Lineage: Archaea
Description: partial 16S ribosomal RNA
Rfam family: Archaeal small subunit ribosomal RNA
Source: RNAcentral
ACACGCUACAUUAGAUACCCGUGUAGUCCUAGCCGUAAACGAUACUCGCUAGGUGUCGGCCACGGUGCGACCGUUGUCGGUGCCGUAGGGAAGCCGUGAAGCGAGCCACCUGGGAAGUACGGCCGCAAGGCUGAAACUUAAAGGAAUUGGCGGGGGAGCACCACAACGGGUGGAGCUUGCGGUUUAAUUGGAUUCAACGCCGGAAAUCUUACCGGGACCGACAGCAACAUGAAGGCCAGGCUGAAGACUUUGCCGGAUUAGCUG